UUUCGCCUUGCUCUCUUUAAAAGCGGCCUCCCAUUCUCCAAAAGACACUUUCCCUCCUCCCUUUGAAGUGCAUUAGUUGUGAUUUCUGCCUCCUUUUCUUUUUUCUUUCUUUUUUGUUUUGCUUUUUCCCCCCUUUUGAAUUAUGUGCUGCUGUUAAACAACAACAAAAAAACAACAAAACACAGCAGCUGCGGACUUGUCCCCGGCUGGAGCCCAGCGCCCCGCCUGGAGUGGAUGAGCCUCUCCAUGAGAGAUCCGGUCAUUCCUGGGACAAGCAUGGCCUACCAUCCGUUCCUACCUCACCGGGCGCCGGACUUCGCCAUGAGCGCGGUGCUGGGUCACCAGCCGCCGUUCUUCCCCGCGCUGACGCUGCCUCCCAACGGCGCGGCGGCGCUCUCGCUGCCGGGCGCCCUGGCCAAGCCGAUCAUGGAUCAAUUGGUGGGGGCGGCCGAGACCGGCAUCCCGUUCUCCUCCCUGGGGCCCCAGGCGCAUCUGAGGCCUUUGAAGACCAUGGAGCCCGAAGAAGAGGUGGAGGACGACCCCAAGGUGCACCUGGAGGCUAAAGAACUUUGGGAUCAGUUUCACAAGCGGGGCACCGAGAUGGUCAUUACCAAGUCGGGAAGGCGAAUGUUUCCUCCAUUUAAAGUGAGAUGUUCUGGGCUGGAUAAAAAAGCCAAAUACAUUUUAUUGAUGGACAUUAUAGCUGCUGAUGACUGUCGUUAUAAAUUUCACAAUUCUCGGUGGAUGGUGGCUGGUAAGGCCGACCCCGAAAUGCCAAAGAGGAUGUACAUUCACCCGGACAGCCCCGCUACUGGGGAACAGUGGAUGUCCAAAGUCGUCACUUUCCACAAACUGAAACUCACCAACAACAUUUCAGACAAACAUGGAUUUGUAAGUUUCAUUGCUCUCUUCAGUAAAAUUUUCUCCUUCUUCACUCAGUCAAAGGCAGUGCUUCCCCAUUUCAUGAGUUUCAGCCCAGACUUCUCCUUUGCUUCUCCCUAAGCAUAGCAAACUUGUCCUUGUCUGGAAAAAGGAUUCGGGGUGUUUCUCUCCAGAUAAUGGAAGGCCUGGCGUUCUAAAAGAAAUGGGGCAAGAAAACUUACCGGCUUGUGUUCUAUAGCAAUUCCAGCUCUUUGGUAGAUUCCUGACCUGAGAGUGAAGUUAAAAACCUUUUUUAAGAGCUAAAAUCAAUUUCAAGGCUAUGUAUUCCUAAAGGAUUUGUUUUGUUUUAAAAUAUCAUACUUCUGUUUUGAAACCAGCGAUAUUAUUUUCUCAGGAGAGUUUACGUUUCGGAGCCUUGACUCUGUUGGUUAAAUGGUGUGAAUACAUUUUUAAAAACUCGUUCUUUUACUAAAAAAAGAAUUGGGCUUAGGUGGGAGUCCGGCUUACCCUAAAUGAGGCUUAGAUCUUCAGAAAAAAAUGGUUUGUGUGUUGGGAGUGUAUAUAUGGAUUCAGUGAGAGUGCUUAGAAACUUAGAAAACUUGCAUUGCUUGUAGAUAUCAGGCAAAGGACCUUUUGCGCCUUUUCCUACCCCUCCCCAACAUUUCAAUAAAAUAAACAGCGUGAUAAGCAAGGAGUAAGCAGAAAGAUUAGGCCCAGGAAGACGCGAAUGGCACGGAAAUAUCUUCAGCGGGCAGGAAUUGCAUUUGAAGCCCUUGAUUUGAUUAAGGCAUAAAUAUUCCUCUCUAGAGUUCAGCCUUUCAGGGCUUUAAGUGGAUUGGGCUCGUCAAUUAGUGGGCGCUUAAAGUACUGAAUCAUUUUGUAAAUUAAAAUGCAUGUUUUUCUCUAUCUUUUAAGACUUUGGCCUUCCCAAG
Molecule: small RNA, 1814 nt
Filed under: Pan troglodytes (chimpanzee)
Lineage: Eukaryota; Metazoa; Chordata; Mammalia; Primates; Hominidae
Description: retained intron
Source: RNAcentral